This 497-nucleotide ribosomal RNA is filed under the name uncultured bacterium. Its description in RNAcentral is "partial 16S ribosomal RNA". It matches the Rfam family "Bacterial small subunit ribosomal RNA", at positions 28 to 507 of the family's 1533-position model. The record is from RNAcentral.
GAUGAACGCUGGCGGCGUGCCUAAUACAUGCAAGUCGAGCGAACAGACGAGGAGCUUGCUCCUCUGACGUUAGCGGCGGACGGGUGAGUAACACGUGGAUAACCUACCUAUAAGACUGGGAUAACUUCGGGAAACCGGAGCUAAUACCGGAUAAUAUAUUGAACCGCAUGGUUCAAUAGUGAAAGACGGUUUUGCUGUCACUUAUAGAUGGAUCCGCGCCGCAUUAGCUAGUUGGUAAGGUAACGGCUUACCAAGGCAACGAUGCGUAGCCGACCUGAGAGGGUGAUCGGCCACACUGGAACUGAGACACGGUCCAGACUCCUACGGGAGGCAGCAGUAGGGAAUCUUCCGCAAUGGGAGAAAGCCUGACGGAGCAACGCCGCGUGAGUGAUGAAGGUCUUCGGAUCGUAAAAAUCUGUUAUUAGGGAAGAACAAAUGUGUAAGUAACUAUGCACGUCUUGACGGUACCUAAUCAGAAAGCCACGGCUAACUACGUG